AUUGAACGCUGGCGGCAGGCCUAACACAUGCAAGUCGAGCGAGCGGCGGACGGGUGAGUAAUGUCUGGGAAACUUCCUGAUGGAGGGGGAUAACUACUGUAAACGGUAGCUAAUACCGCAUACCAUCAGAUGUGCCCAGAUGGGAUUAGCUAGUAGGUGGGGUAAUGGCUCACCUAGGCGACGAUCCCUAGCUGGUCGGAGAGGAUGAUCAGCCACACUGGAACUGAGACACGGUCCAGACUCCUACGGGAGGCAGCAGUGGGGAAUAGUGCACAAUGGGCGAAAGCCUGAUGCAGCCAUGCCGCGUGUGUGAAGAAGGCCUUCGGGUUGUAAAGCACUUUCAGCGAGGAGGCGUUACUCGCAGAAGAAGCACCGGCUAACUCCGUGCCAGCAGCCGCGGUAAUAC
Molecule: ribosomal RNA, 406 nt
Filed under: uncultured bacterium
Lineage: Bacteria
Description: partial 16S ribosomal RNA
Rfam family: Bacterial small subunit ribosomal RNA
Source: RNAcentral